RNAcentral lists this ribosomal RNA (253 nucleotides) under uncultured bacterium. Its description in RNAcentral is "partial 16S ribosomal RNA". It matches the Rfam family "Bacterial small subunit ribosomal RNA", at positions 524 to 776 of the family's 1533-position model. The record is from RNAcentral.
UACGUAGGGUGCGAGCGUUAAUCGGAAUUACUGGGCGUAAAGGGUGCGCAGGCGGUUCUGCAAGUCAGGCGUGAAAGCCCCGGGCUUAACCUGGGAAUGGCGCUUGAAACUACAGGACUGGAGUAUGGCAGAGGGAGGUGGAAUUCCACGUGUAGCGGUGAAAUGCGUAGAGAUGUGGAGGAACACCAGUGGCGAAGGCGACUUUCUGGUCUGUAACUGACGCUGAGGCGCGAAAGCGUGGGGAGCAAACAGG